GGCCCCAGAGCUGGUGUAGCCUUGCCUCUGCCUGUGGAGGUUUAGGGGCAAGGGGUCUGGGCUGGGGGGGGGGGCUGGCUGCUCCAGCUCACUCCACUGGGACCUUUGCUUCCAUCUGAGAGAACACCAUCUUUCUGGCGCUGGGAUCUGGUGCUUGCUGGUACCAAGAGCAGAUGACAGGACUAUUGGGAGAAUGAAAUGAAGUGAAACAUGCACAGUGAUAACCAUGACCAGUGAUUAUGAAGCUGUUUGCAGGGGAGACUCAUGAAUUCUCACAACCACUCUAUGAAAAAGGGUUAUCGCUGGGGCUUGGUGCCCGCACUACUAAUCCACUGCUCCCGGAUGACAUUUUGUUGCCGUUGUUGGUAUUGCCGUUGUUGGAUAGGACAAAGAGAAAUCGAGAGGGAAGGAAAGAUAGAAAGGGGGAGAGAGUGGUCCGGGAGGUGGCACAGUGGCUAAGGCACUGACUCUCAAGCAUGAGGUCCUGAGUCCAGUCCCCAGCAGCACAUGUACCAGAGUGAUGUCUGGUUUUUUUUCUCUCUCUCUCUCCUUUCUCAUUAAUAAAUAAAUAAAAUCUUUAAAAAAAAAAAAAGAAAGAAAGAAAGAAAAAGAAAAGACAAAGAAAGGGGGAGAGAAAGACAUCUGCAGACCUGCUUUCACCACUUGUGAAGUGGCCCUCCCCCUGCAGGAGGGGAGUUGAGGGCUCAAACCAUCAAUUUGUGCCUCCUGGGCUUAACUCGCUGCACUACCGCCCAUUUACCCCUCCCAAUUCACUCUUGAUUUGUUCUUUUUGUUAAAAAAAAAAAGUUACUACAUAUGUGUUAAUCUUUUGGUCUCUCCAAAAGCAGGUUGAAACUGUCAGAUGUCUGGAGCCCAAGAAUACAGAUUCUAGAUCUUGAAAAUGUUGGGUUGGAAUUCUGGUUCCUUGAUGAGUAACUACCUCUGAGACCUUCAAUGAAUUGCUUAACUGCUCUACAGCUGUCUUCUCAUUUGCAAACUAAGGAUCCUGCUGAUGUGUAUGUCACUGAGUUGCUGUGGGGAUUAUUGCGGUUAAUAUAUAGCAAGGCCUAGAGCUUAGUGAGUACUAAACAGGUGUCAGCUGUCGGAUAAAUGAUGUGUUCGUGGGAAUGUAACUCAACAGGUAGCAUACAUGUUUCACAUGAGUGAGGCCCUGGGUUUGAUUCCUGGUAUAUGAGCCAAUAGCUCUGGCUAGUCUCUCUCUCUCCCUCCACCCCCCACCUCUCUCUCUCUUUCUCUAUCCCUCCCUCCUCCUUUCCCUCCCUCUAUUCAUAAAAUAAAUAUUUUUUUAAAUUUGGGGGGAAAAAAGUGCAUUAGGCAGCCAGUGGCUCCUGAGAGAACGUGGUGUUUUCCUUUCACAUGGAAAGAGGCUGUUGACACUGCACAUGAAGUUGUUUGUGGACGCUGUAAAGUGGUGGAUGUUCGUCUCCCAUGAGCCUUUGUAAUGCUGGUAUAGUUGAUGUUGUUGCUCACAGGUUUCCUUUGCUCCCUAGCCUCCUUAUUUCCUGAACGGUUUGGUGACCCAUGGUAUAUCUUUAUUUAUUUUUUCUAUUUUCCUGUUGAUUGUGUUUUUCUCCUUCCUCCCUUUCUACCCUCCCUGUGUUUCUAUCCGUUUCGCUGAGCACAUAUAAACCUCAUCUACAAAUACCUCAACCUGGUCUGUGAAGGAUGUACAAAGUUUAAGCACAUCUUGAGAACCUUGAGAAGAAUCUAGCAAUGAAGAGUAGUAGCAUCUUCCAGGUGCAAGUGUCCUAAAUGAAAUAUCAUCAAAGCCAGAUUUAUCAUAGGGAAACUGAAUAUUCACAUGCAAGAGAAUUGAGUGGGGCUCACUGUUUACAUCAUAUACCAAAAAUUAAAACAAAAAUGAAUGGAAAUUCACAUCAAAAGAGCUGAAACUAUAAAACCUUUAGAAGACAAAAAAAAAAAUAUUCAGGACAGGGCCAGGUUCUGGCACACCUGAUUAAGCACUCAUAUUACAGUGUACAAUGACCCAGGUUCAAGCCUCUGGUCCCCACCUGCAAGGGGAAAGCUUCACAAGUGGUUAAGCUGGGUUUCAGGUAUAUCUCUGUCUCUCUUCCUCUCUAUCUCCUCUGCCCUCUUAAUUUCUCUCUGUCUCUAUCCAGUAAUAAAUAAACAAAUAAGUAAAAUAUUCAGGACAUUGCUAUGACAGCAAUUUUUUUUUUUUGAGGUGACACCAAAAACAGAGACAAGGGGAAAUAGAUAAAUAGGACUAUAUUGAAAGUUAAAAAAAAAAAAAACAUUUCUGUGCCAAAGGAUGCUAUGAAAAGAGUGGGAAGACAACCCUAGGAGUGGAAGAAAAUCACAUAUCUGAUAAGGACUUAAUAUCCAGAAUAUAGGAAGAGCUCCUAUAAUUUAGCAACAAGAAAAUAUACAACCCAGUUUUGUAUAUAUGAAAAAAUGGCUACAAACUUAAGAGAUAUUUUUGCAAAGAGGCACAGUGAUCAAAGACAUGAGAAGAUGUUCAAUAUCACUAAUCAUUAGAGAAAUGCAAAUCAAAAACAACAAUGAGAUAACCAUUCUGUACCCAUUAUGAUGGUUAUUAUUUUUGAAAAAUCAUAUUAAGGUGUGGUGGAGAAAAUGUAGGAAACUAGAACCCUUCUGCCCUGUUGGUGAAAAUGUGAAAUAAUAUGACCAUAUAUGAAACAGUGUAACAGAUUCAAUCCCCAGUACCACCAUAUGUCAGAACUAAGCAGUGACCUAGUGUCUCUCUCUCUCUCAUUAAAUUAUCCAGCUAAUUAAAUAAUUAAAUAAAAGUCACAGUUUAAAAGAUGCUAAAUAGGUGUCUGAAGUUUACACUGUCAGAUCUCUUACCUGUUCCCCGUUUUAUGCUGACAUUUUCACUUAACUAAACAUCACAGUAGGAAAAAAAAUUACAAAAAUGCACAGUAGCAAAAUAAGAAAAACAAAUGACUUCAUAAGCCACUUUGGACCCCCUUUCAAAGAGAUCUUAAGAUACUUAGAAGAAACUUAUGUGCAAAGCAAAACAUAGGUCUACUUCAUCUUCACUUUAUAUGUGAAGAGACUAUGGCUCAGAGAGGGAGUCUUGCUGACCACAGUACUGGUUCUCAUUUGAAGAUCCAUUUGAAGGGGGGGGUGUCUUUAUCACUUCCAAUAUUCCUUUUCCUCAAGCCUCCCUGAAUCUUUCAGGAUUUUCUCAUUUACAGUCUAUACCCACCUCCCACCCCAAGGAGGUGUGAACAUUAUGUCCUCCAAAAACAAUGUUGGGACCUUUUCUAUAAAAGGACCUACAAGGGUGGGGGUAGACAGCAUAAUGGUUAUGCAAAGAGAUUUUCAGGCCUGAUGCUCUGAAGUCCCACUUUCAGUCCCCCACAUUGCCAUAAGCCAGAGCUGAUCAGUGUUGUGGUAAUAAAAAAAAAAUUAAAUUAAAUCAAAAAUAAAUAAAUAAAUAAAAGGACCUAUGUCUUUUCUCUAAAUGCAAGUCAUAUUAUUGCAAAAUAAUAAUAAUAAUAAUAAACUAUGGCAAGCCUUGAAAAGAGAAAAAAAAAAAUCUUUCCCCAACUUCAUUCCCCAAGUCACUAGAUUUGGAAUAAAUUCUGGCUUCUUAGAGACAAAAGAAUGGGUAUGUAAUUAAGGUUCAAAUCGCCUAUUGUCUUAGGAGAAUGUCUGACAAAGAAAACACAGUGACUAUCAAAUGGAAGCUGGGAGGUGAAAUACUCCUAAUGGAGAAUUCUAGAAAACAAAUUCUUCACUCUGGAACUUGGGUCCUCCUUACAGACAGACAGGCAACAAAGGUGGAGAUAAAAAAGAAUUAUGGGGUGGAGAACACACCUAAGCAGGGACACAAACCCAGGAAUCUUGGAUACAAUUGGUUUGUUCAGAAUGGGAAAUGAAGGCAGGCUGAGUUAGCAGUGAACUAGCUGAGAAUCUGGGGGCCUUGGGACCCAGUGGUGGAACACUUGGUUGAAUGCACAUAUUACAGUGCACAAGGGUCCAAGUUCAAGUCCUCCCUGAAGGGAGGAAACUUUAUGAGUGGUGAAGCAGUGCCUCUCUCCCCCCCUCUCAAUUUCUCUCUAUCCUAUCAAAAAAAAAGAAAAAAGAAAAGAAAAGAAAAAAAGGAAUUAGAGAGUGUGUGUGUGAGAAUCUGGGGGCCUACAGCAGCAUUGUCCAACAGAAACACACCGUGAGUCACAAAUGUUAUUUAAAAUGAUCUAGUAGUCAAAUGAGACUAAAAACAGUCAAUCUAUGAAGUAGGACAUUGCUCUCACUAGUAACAAACUCCUUGAUUUUAAGAAUCAGAGAUCCCAAAAUCAAGUGCCCUCAGUGCCGAGAGAGAGAACAGAAACAUAGAUGGGGGACAAGCAAAUUUCACACUUUCUUGUAAGAAAAACAGUACAGCUCACAAAAUGAUUUAUGUCUGCUACCAUAAUUUCCAUACAGGGCUAUACUAAGGAAUAUUGGGGAUUGUGGCAAAUUAGAAAGAGCACACCCACUCUAAUCAGGCUUCUGUGGCUUUUGCUUCACAGGCAUAAGGGGAUCAAUGUGGCCUGGGUUCUUGAUGUUUUUGAAAAAGCUAGAAAUGGAUUUUUUUUUAACAGUUAGAAGUCAAUUCAUUUUUUUUAAAUAUAUUUAUUUUUUAUUGGGUAGAGACAAAGAGAAAUUGAGAAGAAAGGGGGAGAUAGAGAGAGAAAGAGACACCUGCCACCCUACUUCAUCACUCAUGAAGCUUCCCCCCUGCAGGUGGGGACCAGCGAGCUGAACAUGGGUCCUUGCACAUUGUAAAGUAUGUGCUUAACCAGGUGCACCACUGCCUGGCCCCAGUGUUAGUUUGUUGUUGUUGUUUUUAAUUAAUUUUAUUUUAUUGGCUCUAGGAAUCAACCCCAGGACUUCAUACAUAUGAAACAUAUGCUCUCCCACAGAGCUAUAUCCCCAGUCAUGUGAAUUCAACUUUUAUUGAACCAACGACUGGGUGGGCUGGAUCUUAACCUCUGGUCUCCUUGAAAUCCUUGGUCAUAUUUUACAGAGGAGGAAAUUGAGGUUCAGACUGGUUAAAUAUUUCUCCAACCAACAGCAAAGACAAAGAGUUGGCUCUCUGUGUUCCCAUGCCAGAUAAUUUCUGCUACUUGUUCUAAUAAACCACAUUGAUUA
This is a long non-coding RNA of Erinaceus europaeus (western European hedgehog), 5145 nucleotides long. RefSeq lists it as uncharacterized. The record is from RefSeq and is a predicted model, not a curated record. The transcript is spliced from 3 exons. Lineage: Eukaryota; Metazoa; Chordata; Mammalia; Eulipotyphla; Erinaceidae.